Molecule: long non-coding RNA, 597 nt
Filed under: Homo sapiens (human)
Lineage: Eukaryota; Metazoa; Chordata; Mammalia; Primates; Hominidae
Description: non-protein coding lnc-RUNX2-2:1
Source: RNAcentral
CGUUCUGCGGCUGGUAGAGUUUGUGCACCUCUAGUGCCUCACAGACUUUGAUAAGCAGGAACUACGUGGAGAGCUAGUGAAAAUGCAGAUUCUGAUUCAGAAGUUCUGGAGUGGGGCCUGAGACUCAGCAUUUCUAGACAGCUCCAGGGAGACGCUGAUGCUACUGAUCCAAGACACACUGAGGAGAAUUGAUGGCCCAAAGUGAAUGUCCUGCCCUGUGAUCUGCCCUUUAGCGGAAGAAACAGCAAAACCGGCAUCAACUAAAGCAACUGGGAACAUCAAGUUUUUAUUCAUUUGUUGAUUUGAACAGUAUUUCAUUCUGAUUUUAACUGACUUCUUUUGCAUUAGAUUAAAAACAACAACAAAAGACUGAAAUCUUUCAAGAACAAAGAGGAGCUGGCCUAUAAAUCCUAAAUACAGAUGUAGUGAUUGAACCCAUCUAGGUAGCUUAUGAAUAUAAAUCUCACCCAAAGUUUCAUCCACACUUAAGAGAUAACCACUGUUAAUAUUUUGGCAACUACUCUUGGAAGUAUUUGUGUCUAAAUACAAAUACCUAUGCGUAUGCAAUUUUACUUAACUGUGAUCAUAGUAGGCCUG